This is an RNA transcript of Quercus lobata, 3114 nucleotides long. It is a transcript of the gene named sulfate transporter 1.3-like, with no coding region annotated. NCBI's taxonomy places the organism in Eukaryota, Viridiplantae, Streptophyta, Magnoliopsida, Fagales, Fagaceae. The record is from RefSeq and is a predicted model, not a curated record. The transcript has 15 exons.
UCUCUUUGUUUUCGUUCUUUUAUCCAACAGCAAAGGCACUCUUUUUCUUAGCUCUAUGGAUUUCUUCUAAUUAAAGAGAACCCUUUAUCUCUUCUCUCUUAUGAAAGGGUUUGCAGAGGCAGCAAGCGGAACACCGAUGCAGAAGAUCACCUCAGCUUAGUGUAUAAAAUGAGAAAAAGAUUCACAAAGUAUGGCUAAAAGGAGCCCUUGUUUGUAUCUAUACGCAUCAUCCCACCCUCUCAACCUCUCCGUCUUGGGACAAUCAGUUGGAACAUGCGACAGAAGAAUUGGCACUGGAGUUUCCUAUUACAGAUGGAGAUUGGGAGUGGCCCUUCGUCGCGACACCAUCCACAACCUUCUUCUCAAAUUCACAAAGUGGAAAGGCCUCCUAAGCAAAAUGUUCUCACAGAAUUUCAAACUGUUAUCAAGGAAACUUUCUUCCACGAUGAACCCUUACGUGCUUUUCGGGGCCAAAGAAGUCAUACAAAGUUUUAUCUUGUACUCCAAGCAAUUUUCCCGAUUCUUGAAUGGGCAAGAAGCUACAACCUACAAAAGUUCAGAGGUGACCUGAUUGCUGGACUCACCAUAGCUAGCCUGUGUGUCCCUCAGGAUAUUGCAUAUGCAAAGCUAGCAAAUCUUGAUCCCCAAUAUGGGUUAUACUCUAGCUUUGUUCCACCUCUUAUUUAUGCCUGCAUGGGUAGCUCCAGAGAUAUUGCCAUAGGACCAGUGGCCGUGGUGUCUCUUUUGAUUGGAACUAUGGCGCAGAAUGAGAUUGAUCCAAAGAAAAAUGCUCUUGCUUAUAGGCGUCUUGUAUUCACUGCUACCUUUUUUGCUGGAGUCACUUAAUUCGCACUUGGCUUUUUCAGAUUGGGUUUCUUAAUUGACUUUUUGUCUCAUGCUGCCAUUGUUGGAUUCAUGGCUGGGGCUGCCAUUACUAUAGGCCUUCAACAGCUCAAAGGUCUUCUUGGUAUAACAAACUUCACAAAGAACACUGACAUUAUUUCGGUGAUGCAUUCAGUUUUUGGAUCAGUACAUCAUGGGUGGAACUGGCAGACCAUAGUAAUUGGGUUGUCAUUCUUGGCCUUCCUUUUGCUCACCAAGUACACCGUCAAAAAAUGCCCCAAAUUAUUUUGGGUAUCUGCUAUUGCUCCAUUGACCUCUGUCAUAGUAGCCACAUUCUGUGUAUAUAUUACCCGUGCUGAUAAGGAAGGUGUAGCAAUUGUGAACCGUAUAGAAAGGGGCAUAAACCCAUCAUCUGCUCAUGAAAUCUAUUGGACUGGAGAUUUCUUUCUCAAAGGUUUUAAGAUCGGUGUGGUAGCAGGUUUAAUAGCAUUGACGGAAGCUAUAGCGAUUGCUAGAACAUUUGCUGCUGUGAAGGACUACAAUGUGGAUGGGAACAAAGAAAUGGUGGCAAUGGGAACUAUGAACAUUGUUGGCUCCAUGACAUCUUGUUAUGUAGCUACAGGAUCAUUCUCUCGCUCGGCAGUAAAUUUCAUGGCUGGCUGCAACACAGCAGUUGCCAACAUUGUGAUGUCUUGUGUUGUUCUUCUAACAUUGGAAUUCAUCACACCAUUGUUUAAGUACACCCCAAAUGCUGUACUUGCUUCUAUCAUCAUUGCAGCGGUGUUUCCCCUAGUUGACAUUCCAGCUGCGAUGCUACUAUGGAAGAUUGAUAAAUUCGAUUUUCUUGCUUGUAUGGGAGCCUUCUUUGGUGUGGUCUUUAAAAGUGUGGAGAUAGGCCUUUUAAUUGCGGUGGCUAUAUCCUUUGCCAAAAUCCUCCUACAAGUUACAAGGCCACGGACUGCAGUACUCGGGAGGCUCCCAGGGACUCAUGUUUUCAGGAAUGUGGAGCAAUAUCCUAAUGCAAAAACUGUUUCUGGAAUUAUGAUUAUUCGAGUUGAUUCUGCAAUCUACUUUUCAAACUCCAACUAUAUUAAGGAGAGGAUUUUGAGAUGGCUAAGCAAUGAAGAAGAAGAUUUGAAGAUAAACAAUCAGCCCAGAAUCAAAUAUCUCAUCAUUGAAAUGUCACCUGUUACUGAUAUUGACACUAGUGGUAUCCAUUCAUUUAAAGAGUUGCAUAAGACACUUCAGAAUAGAGAUGUUAAGCUUGUUUUAGCAAACCCCGGGGCAAUAGUGACCGAAAAGUUGCAUGCAUCGGAUUUUACAAAAAAGAUCGGCGAAGACAUGAUCUUUCUCACAGUUGCAGAUGCUAUUGAAAUGCUGUCGCCGAGAAUUAAAGAACUACUAUAAAAUAGAUUACGAGUGAGGGUGUUAUGAAAGAAUGCAAAUAGCUAAUUAAGGUGUGAAGUUGGGGUGUUUAAAUUUCAGCCUGGGACAUUAACUCUGUACACUUUCUUUGUGGAUUGCACAUCAUAACUCCCAAAACGUUGCUAGGGAUAAUAGGCCGUCCACUACCUUGUGAUGGGAGUAUGUCGAUAACUUUAAUUGUGGAUGAGAGUAGUAGCCAGUAGGACAAGCAAUACCCAUCAACUAGUAAUAUUGUUAGUUUUAGAAAAUCAUCAAUAAUCGUGAGUGCCAUUGUUGUCGCAGUUGUUCGGGCACACCAUCUCAGAGCUCAUGUGAUAAAAAGGGUUCUCCCUCCACCUGCAACCCUAAUGAAUUAUAUUAUUAUUUUUUGGUUCAAUAUGUAUGCUGACGAAAAGAGGCGAUAAACGUUGAAGAGGAGGAGGCGAAGGAGGUGGGAGUAAAUUACCCAUAAAGUGACCAAAGUUGUUGUUGAGAAUGUUAAUAAUAGUAUUAUUAUUACGACUCAAUGAACUCUUUAUACUUCUACGCGAUCUGAUAACGAGGAAUUCGAUUAUGUGAGAAAGGACAAUGCCGAUGUCAAUAGAGGUAAGAAGAGGAAGAGGAAACCUGUAAAAACGCAAUUGUUUGAAGUCAAUAAUGUAGAGUAUAAUUGGAUUUUUGUACAUGAAUGUUUUCAUUGGAGGAGUGGUGUUGGAAAUGUGAUUUUAGAUUAUCAUGAAUUUGUGAGUGCUAAAGUGGGGAAAAUGGGAUUUUUGUACAUGAAUGUUUUUGUGGGGUGUGGGGCGGGUUAUAUAUUGGAAAUGUGCUUUGAGAUUAUUGUAAAUUUGUGUUUUUGUUUGGAUUAUA